This 4259-nucleotide long non-coding RNA is filed under the name Macaca mulatta (Rhesus monkey). Its description in RNAcentral is "lncRNA (ENSMMUG00000061849.1)". Lineage: Eukaryota; Metazoa; Chordata; Mammalia; Primates; Cercopithecidae. The record is from RNAcentral.
UUUAGGUACAUGGGUGGGAGGGAGAGCCUCAGACCAUGGGUGGAUUUGGUUUGAUAUGCAUUGCAGGUUCAUUAUAUCAGAGGGUGGAGAAUACAGACCUUGAAGCCACACACAGCUGGGUUCCAGUCCCAGCUUUGCUGAAGAUACAGCACUCAACAUCUGUGAGCCUUAUCUUUAAAAUGGGUAUGUCAUACCUGUAUCUCCCAGAAAGGUGAAAUUAAACAAUAAUGCACAAUACUUGGCACAUAAUAAUCAUUAUUCCUUCCUCUUACCCUUCUCAAUUUUUCCUAUUACAGGAAAUUGUUCCACAAAAGGCUCCGACCUCUAGAAAAAUGCUCCUUCUCUCCACUCUGCCCACCGCCACCCACCCAGGGCAAAAGAAACCUAAAAGGGACUGUACACGGGAAAUACAAGUGAAGGCAAGGAAAGAGAACUGUACAAGGUAAGUACAGUUCGUUUUAGGUUUAUUUUGCCCUGGAAAUUCAUGGUCAAGUUAUCAAACACAUCCAGAUUCUCUGGGGAGACUUAUGAGCAUAGACAUAAUGAAAAUAAACUCACACCGACAUAGUCUAGAAGCCUCUAUACUAGGAGCUAUAAUAUGAGGCAUUGAUUUCCACCCAUAAAUGUUGAUAGUUGGCAAAGCUAGUAGUAGUGGUAACUAACACAUGCUGAGCGGGGUAUUUAAAUGUGUUAGUAACUUUUGACUUGAUUCUCACCACAACUCUGUGAGGUGGGUACUGUUUUAUUCUUAAUUUUAAAGCUGAAGAAAUAGUAGUUUGGUGAGAAUAAGCAAUUUGUACAAAAUCGCCAAGGUGGUUUAAGUAGCGGGCCAGGAUCCAAACUGAGGUCUCUCUGGCCCCUGGGCCUGUGCUUUCUCCAUCCUCAGAUACGGCUUUCCAAAAUCUGAAGGCCUCUCCAUCCUGAGAUAUGGCCUUCAGAUUUUUGAAUCCUCUGCAUGUAACCUGAAAUCCCAGGUUCUUGCUUAGUGACUGAUUUGGGUGCUUAAGGCCCUAAUAUUUUACCAUUAACUCUGGCUGUAGGACCUCAUUGGCACAAAGUUCCUGAAACUAUCCAAUUUUCAGGCUGUUGGUGUGAAUUUCCCUGGAGAGUUACCUAGUGGUGAGUCAGUCCCUCCAGCCUAUGUCUGGGUAGCUUUCAGCAAAGCCUCUGACAUUUGGCAUUUUUCCUGGCAGGCAGCCAAGUGACUGAGGUUUUUUUUGUUUUUUUUUUUUUUCUGUUUCACUUUCACCCUUAACCGUUUUCCUCUCAAACAAAAAGGAACUCAAGGAUUUUACCAGUGCAUUUUAAAAAGUUGUUUGUGAGGGAAAGUUUGUAGCUGGAGGGAAAGGAGGGAAAAAGAUGAUUGAGAGAAAGGUGGAAACAGGCUCUUGAAAUUGUUCACAGAAUUUAGAACGCUCUUGAGCUAGAAAGGUUCUGUCUAAUUUAGAAAGCUACUUACAUUCCUCAAAAGAGAGGUGUUCUCUAAGUAUAAAUAUAUGAUCAGACACUCUGCAGGAGCUGUGGAGAAUCCCUAAAGUUAUUGUUUGUGUUGUCCCCAACAUUUCCUUUUAGCAAACAUUUACAAUGGCCUUGUCUUUCCUAAUGUUGAAUUCCCAACCUUGUGGAAAAGUAGCAGAAGUGGUUUAAAUUUGGAUACUUUCUCUUCCUGCUUCUACUCAUUUGGAAAAGGUGCUGGCAGCUAUUCAUAAACCACUGACAUGAUCAUUUGGAUCUGGUGCCGCUUCCCAAGGGGAAAAACUUUUUCCUCCUUAUUUUUUGAGCACUUAACUGCAUGCCCUGCCCUGUUUUAAGUGUUGUGCAUGUGUUAACUCAUUGAAUCCUCAGUCCUAAGAGAUCCCUAAUAACUAUAUUCCCAUUCAACAGUUAAGAAAACUGAGGCUUAUAGAGGCUAAGAAAUGUGCCCUAGGUCCCAUGGCUAUGAAGUAGGGUGAUGGUUUGAUGGGAGAGCCUUUAUUCUAUAGCAACACAUAGAAACAGGUUCAUACAGCCCCCAGAUCAAAGCCAGGCUCUGCCACCUCCCAGAAUGAUCAGCCAACUCACAUUUUCAACCAUUGCCAAGAAUAUCCAUGACAUUACUCCUAUGAGAAAUGAAGUGCAUUCCAGUUCCUAAUACAUCUUGUUUCCUCCUUCCAUAAAUGGUCUCAGGACUUCUACUUCUGUCAAAGUAGGAAAGGAUUCUAUUUAUUCAUUUCUUCAUUUGACAAGCACUUACAGACACACAGGCAAUAGGGCAUAAUGUUAGGAGAGCAGACACUGGAACCAGACUGCUUCCUUUGAAUCGUGGUUUUGCCAAUUACUUGCUCAAGUUCAUACAGCUUGUUGUUUAACCUUUCUGUGCCUCAGAUCCCAUGCAUAACAUGGAUUAAUGAUGACACUAACCUCACAUAGGUAUUAUUGUUUUAAAUGAGUUAAUCCAUAGGAAACACUUAAAACACUGCCUAGCACAUAGUAAAUGUUCAAUAAGCAUGAGGUAUCAUCAAACAGAUAUUUAGGAAAUAAAAGUAUACUAAGCAUGGGGAAACAAAAGGACUCAUAAUCCAGUAGGAAGUACUGGAUAUUCAUUCCUUCAAUAGAUACUUUUAUGUGCUAAGAACUAGGCCCUAGGAGUAUAACAGCUAAACAAAACACCCCACUACAAAUAUGUACAAACUACUAGAAGAGGUAAAUAGAGGAACAAACAAUGACAACGUAGUGUGAUAAAUUCUGCAACUAGGAUGGAAGUGGGUUAUGUCAGAGUAUUUGUGGGCUGUGAGGUUUAGGAAUCAGGAGACAUCUCAGAGGAAGGGAGCCCAAGGUAAGACCUGAUGGAUGAGAAGAAAUUUGCCACAUGAAUUACUAGAACAGAAUGUGAAUUAUAAUGUAUGUAAAGGGCAUGGAGCAUUUGCCUGUGCACGGGGCACAUGCAGAAGCAGGAAGAGGUAGAGCAAGUAGUCCUGUAUGGCUUGAGGGUUAGGGUGCAUGGGGCAAGGGUAGGAAGAGAAUGAGGAGGCUGGAAAGAAAAUGGCACCAGCUUGUCAAAGGCCUGCGGUGCUUUGUAGAGGAUUUUGGACUUGAUCCUUAUGUAAUGGGAGCCAUGGAAUGCUUCACCUCUAGCAAAGAUGUGAUCAGAUAAUCCAGACCAGAGGAAUGCUGGAGUCAGAGCUCCAGUUACAGUAACCCCUGGUGAGAAAUAAAGGCCUGCAGUGGUUUGCUGGCCAUUGGAAUGGAGAAGUUUAAGAGAUAAGAGAAAGAAGAAUUAUUAGAAUGUGAUGACUGAUUAGACCAGAGUGGAAGCACAGUAGUAUCUUACACUGCUUUCACAGGUUGUAUCCUUCUAGCCACUAUGGGUACUUUGUUGGAAAAGUUUGAGAAGUACUGAGAGCAUAAUGGAAAACACAUGAGUUUUUGGAGCUCCUUGCAAUUGAAUUCAAAUCCAGUCUCUACUAUUUGUUGGUUUCAGGAUUAGUAUGGCUAAUAAACUUUCAUCAUAGUUUGUUAGGAUUAGUAAUAUAUUAAUAACACGUGUAGACUGCCUAGUAUAGUGCCUAGCACAUAGUAAACAAUUAGUACGUGAUAGUUGUAAGUGUUGUGGGAUUAGAAAAUAGAAAAUGGACCAGGCGUGGUGGCUCACGCCUCUAAUCCUAGUAUUUCAGGAGGCUGAGGCGGGUGGAUUACUUAAGGCCAGGAGUUCAAGAGCCACCUGGCCAACAUGGCAAAACCCUGUCUCUACUAAAAAUACUAAAAUUAGCCAGGCAUGGUGACAGGUGCCUGUAAUCCCAGCUACUUGGGAGGCUGAGGCAUGAGAAUCGCUUGAACCUGGGAGGCGUAGGUUGCAGUGAGCCAAGAUCGUGCCACUGCACUCCAGCCUGGGGGAAAGAGCGAGAUUCUGUCUCAAAAAAAAAAAAAAAAAAAAAAAGAAAAGAAAAUAGAACAUGGUUAGAGGUUAAUACUAUACAGCAGUGGUUCUUAGUCUUUUGAAUGUCUUACACGCUUUUAUUUAAGAAAAAAAAAACCUUUGAGAUAUAAUUCACAUACCAUAUAAUUUACCCACUUAAACUUUACAAUUCAACACUUUUUAAUAUAUUCACAAUGUUGUGCAACCAUCACUACAAUAUAAUUUUAGAACAUUUUCAUCAACCCUAAAAGAAACCAUUAGCAAUCACUAGCUGUUCUUCCUCAUGGUCCCUCCACAGCCCUAGAUAACCCCUAUCUACUUUCUGUCUCUGUUGAUUUGCUCUUAGAUCCUUUUCAUGAUGAAA